RNAcentral lists this ribosomal RNA (253 nucleotides) under uncultured bacterium. RNAcentral's name for it is "partial 16S ribosomal RNA". It matches the Rfam family "Bacterial small subunit ribosomal RNA", at positions 524 to 776 of the family's 1533-position model. The record is from RNAcentral.
UACGGAGGGUGCAAGCAUUAAUCGGAAUUAUUGGGCGUAAAGGGCGCGUAGGCGGAAUUGCAUGUCUGACGUGAAAUACCGGGGCUUAACCUCGGUGCUGCAUCAGAAACUACAAUUCUAGAGGGUGGACGGAGAAAACGGAAUUCCACAUGUAGCGGUGAAAUGCGUGGAUAUGUGGAAGAACACCGGUGGCGAAAGCGGUUUUCUAGUUUAUUCCUGACGCUGAGGCGCGAGAGCAAGGGGAGCAAACAGG